RNAcentral lists this ribosomal RNA (406 nucleotides) under uncultured bacterium. RNAcentral's name for it is "partial 16S ribosomal RNA". It matches the Rfam family "Bacterial small subunit ribosomal RNA", at positions 30 to 526 of the family's 1533-position model. The record is from RNAcentral.
AUUGAACGCUGGCGGCAGGCCUAACACAUGCAAGUCGAACGAGUGGCGGACGGGUGAGUAAUGUCUGGGUAACUGCCCGUUGUAGGGGGAUAACUACUGGAAACGGUAGCUAAUACCGCAUACCAUCGGAGGUGCCCAGCUGGGAUUGGCUAGUGGGGGGGGUAACGGCUCACCUGGGCGACGAUCCCUGGCUGGUCUGGGAGGAUGGCCAGCCACACUGGACCUGGUGGACGGUCCAGACUCCUACGGGAGGCAUCAGUGGGAAAUAUUGCACAUUGGGCGCAAGCCUGAUGAAGCCAUGCCGCGUGUAUGAAGAAGGCCUUCGGGUUGUAAAGUACUUUCAGCGAGGAGGCGUUACUCGCAGAAGAAGCACCGGCUAACUCCGUGCCAGCAGCCGCGGUAAUUC